CAGUACCGCGGUAAUGCGUAGGUGGCAAGCGUUGUCCGGAAUUAUUGGGCGUAAAGGGCUCGCAGGCGGUUUCUUAAGUCUGAUGUGAAAGCCCCCGGCUCAACCGGGGAGGGUCACUGGAAACUGGGAAACUUGAGUGCAGAAGAGGAGAGUGGAAUUCCACGUGUAGCGGUGAAAUGCGUAGAGAUGUGGAGGAACACCAGUGGCGAAGGCGACUCUCUGGUCUGUAACUGACGCUGAGGAGCGAAAGCGUGGGGAGCGAACAGGAUUAGAGACCCCGGUAGUCCCUGUCUCUUAUACA
This 301-nucleotide ribosomal RNA is filed under the name uncultured bacterium. RNAcentral describes it as "partial 16S ribosomal RNA". It matches the Rfam family "Bacterial small subunit ribosomal RNA", at positions 509 to 808 of the family's 1533-position model. The record is from RNAcentral.